This 253-nucleotide ribosomal RNA is filed under the name uncultured bacterium. RNAcentral's name for it is "partial 16S ribosomal RNA". It matches the Rfam family "Bacterial small subunit ribosomal RNA", at positions 524 to 776 of the family's 1533-position model. The record is from RNAcentral.
UACGAAGGGGGCGAGCGUUGUUCGGAAUUACUGGGCGUAAAGGGCGCGUAGGCGGCCUGGCAAGUCAAAAGUGAAAUCCCUCGGCCCAACCGAGGAACUGCCUUUGAAACUGCAAGGCUUGAGGCCGGGAGAGGGUAGCGGAAUUCCCAGUGUAGCGGUGAAAUGCGUAGAUAUUGGGAGGAACACCAGUGGCGAAGGCGGCUACCUGGACCGGUUCUGACGCUGAGGCGCGAAAGCGUGGGGAGCAAACAGG